This 460-nucleotide ribosomal RNA is filed under the name uncultured bacterium. RNAcentral's name for it is "partial 16S ribosomal RNA". It matches the Rfam family "Bacterial small subunit ribosomal RNA", at positions 338 to 795 of the family's 1533-position model. The record is from RNAcentral.
CCUACGGGUGGCAGCAGUGAGGAAUAUUGGUCAAUGGCCGGAAGGCUGAACCAGCCAUGCCGCGUGAAGGUCAGUGCCCUAUGGGCGUUAAACUUCUUUUGUGCGGGAGCAAUAAUGGUCACGUGUGGCCAGACGAGAUUACCGUACGAAUAAACAUCGGCUAACUCCGUGCCAGCAGCCGCGGGAAUACGGGGGAUGCAGGCGUUAUGCGGGUUUAUUGGGUUUGAAGGGUGCGUAGGGUGGUAGGUAAGUCCGCGGGGAAAUGCCCCCGCUCAACGGGGUGAAGUGCCAUUGAUACUGGCUUGCUGGAAGGCGGAUGAAGUGGGAGGAAUGUGUGGUGUAGCGGUGAAAUGCAUAGAUAUCACACAGAACACCGAUUGCGAAGGCAGCUUACGAAUCCGCGAUUGACGCUGAUGCACGAAAGCGUGGGUAUCAAACAGGAUUAGAUACCCCAGUAGUC